GACGAACGCUGGCGGCGUGCUUAACACAUGCAAGUCGAACGGAAAGGCCCUGCUUUUGUGGGGUGCUCGAGUGGCGAGAGGGUGAAAAACACGUGAGUCACCUGCCCUUGACUUCGGGAUCUCUUCAGGAAACUGGGGAUAAUAGCGCAUAGGAGCUCUUGCUGCAUGGGGGGGGUUGGAAAGUUUAGGCGGUUGGGGAUGGACUCGCGGCUUAUCAGGUUGUUGGUGGGGUAGUGGCUUACCAAGGCGUCGACGGGUAGCCGGCCGGAGAGGUUGACCGGCCACACGGGGACGGCGAUUCGGCCCGGCCGCCGACGGGAGGCAGCAGUGGUGAAUAUUGCACAAUGGGCGGAAGCCUGAGGCAGCAACGCCGGGUGCGGGAUGGUGGCCUUCUUUUGGUAAACCGCUUUCGCCUGGGAUGAAGCGGGAGUGACGGUAAUGGGUAAAGAAGCACCGGCUAACUACGUG
This 468-nucleotide ribosomal RNA is filed under the name uncultured bacterium. Its description in RNAcentral is "partial 16S ribosomal RNA". It matches the Rfam family "Bacterial small subunit ribosomal RNA", at positions 28 to 507 of the family's 1533-position model. The record is from RNAcentral.